GAUUGCUCUGAUUGCUUAUUGCACCACAUGUGUUUUUCUUUGAAACAAACUUGCUUUGGCGGUGGGCCCAGCCUGCCGCCAGAGGUCUAAACUUACAACCAAUUUUUUAUCAACUUGUCACACCAGAUUAUUACUAAUAGUCAAAACUUUCAACAACGGAUCUCUUGGUUCUCGCAUCGAUGAAGAACGCAGCGAAAUGCGAUACGUAAUAUGAAUUGCAGAUAUUCGUGAAUCAUCGAAUCUUUGAACGCACAUUGCGCCCUCUGGUAUUCCGGAGGGCAUGCCUGUUUGAGCGUCGUUUCUCCCUCAAACCGCUGGGUUUGGUGUUGAGCAAUACGACUUGGGUUUGCUUGAAAGACGGUAGUGGUAAGGCGGGAUCGCUUUGACAAUGGCUUAGGUCUAACCAAAAACAUUGCUUGCGGCGGUAACGUCUACCACGUAUAUCUUCAAACUUUGACCUCAAAUCAGGUAGGACUACCCGCUGAACUUAAGCAUAUCAAAAGCCGGAGGAA
This 512-nucleotide ribosomal RNA is filed under the name Candida albicans. RNAcentral describes it as "eukaryotic LSU rRNA". The stretch from base 145 to 298 matches the Rfam family "5.8S ribosomal RNA". Lineage: Eukaryota; Fungi; Ascomycota; Pichiomycetes; Serinales; Debaryomycetaceae. The record is from RNAcentral.